AGUGAACGCUGGCGGUAGGCCUAACACAUGCAAGUCGAACGGCAGCACAGUAAGAGCUUGCUCUUACGGGUGGCGAGUGGCGGACGGGUGAGGAAUACAUCGGAAUCUACUUUUUCGUGGGGGAUAACGUAGGGAAACUUACGCUAAUACCGCAUACGACCUACGGGUGAAAGCAGGGGAUCUUCGGACCUUGCGCGAUUGAAUGAGCCGAUGUCGGAUUAGUUAGUUGGCGGGGUAAAGGCCCACCAAGGCGACGAUCCGUAGCUGGUCUGAGAGGAUGAUCAGCCACACUGGAACUGAGACACGGUCCAGAGUCCUACGGGAGGCAGCAGUGGGGAAUAUUGGACAAUGGGCGCAAGCCUGAUCCAGCCAUACCGCGUGGGUGAAGAAGGCCUUCGGGUUGUAGAGCCCUUUUGUUGGGAAAGAAAAGCAGCAGGUUAAUACCCCGCUGUUCUGACGGUACCCAAAGAAUAAGCACCGGCUAACUUCGUG
RNAcentral lists this ribosomal RNA (492 nucleotides) under uncultured bacterium. RNAcentral's name for it is "partial 16S ribosomal RNA". It matches the Rfam family "Bacterial small subunit ribosomal RNA", at positions 29 to 507 of the family's 1533-position model. The record is from RNAcentral.